UGGCGAACGGGUGAGUAACACGUGAGUAACCUGCCCUUGACUUUGGGAUAACUUCAGGAAACUGGGGCUAAUACCGGAUAGGAGCUCCUGCUGCAUGGUGGGGGUUGGAAAGGUUUCGGCGGUUGGGGAUGGACUCGCGGCUUAUCAGCUUGUUGGCGGGGUAGUGGCUUACCAAGGCUUCGACGGGUAGCCGGCCUGAGAGGGUGACCGGCCACAUUGGGACUGAGAUACGGCCCAG
RNAcentral lists this ribosomal RNA (238 nucleotides) under uncultured Propionibacterium sp. RNAcentral describes it as "partial 16S ribosomal RNA". It matches the Rfam family "Bacterial small subunit ribosomal RNA", at positions 96 to 334 of the family's 1533-position model. The record is from RNAcentral. Lineage: Bacteria; Bacillati; Actinomycetota; Actinomycetes; Propionibacteriales; Propionibacteriaceae.